This 74-nucleotide ribosomal RNA is filed under the name Bacillus amyloliquefaciens. RNAcentral describes it as "partial 16S ribosomal RNA". It matches the Rfam family "Bacterial small subunit ribosomal RNA", at positions 1 to 73 of the family's 1533-position model. RNAcentral also lists the same sequence under 1 other name. The record is from RNAcentral. Lineage: Bacteria; Bacillati; Bacillota; Bacilli; Caryophanales; Bacillaceae.
UUUAUCGGAGAGUUUGAUCCUGGCUCAGGACGAACGCUGGCGGCGUGCCUAAUACAUGCAAGUCGAGCGGACAG